This 942-nucleotide ribosomal RNA is filed under the name Triticum aestivum (bread wheat). RNAcentral describes it as "partial small subunit ribosomal RNA". Lineage: Eukaryota; Viridiplantae; Streptophyta; Magnoliopsida; Poales; Poaceae. The record is from RNAcentral.
AUGUUUAACGACUGCAUCGCGGAGCUUGGCCUCCGUGAGCUCGAGCGCACGGGGACCCGGUUCACCUGGACUAACCGCCAGGCGAACCCGACGCAGUCUGUCCUGGACCGCGUCUUAGUUUCCCUGGAAUGGGAGCUCAGAUGCCCCCUGGCCUCGGUUCAGGCUAUUACCAGGAUCGGCUCUGAUCAUGUCCCUCUCCUCCUCUCCUCUGCUGAUGAGCGCCCCCCACCCCCCCGGUUCCGGUUCGAGCUCUUCUGGCUCAACCAAGCCGGGUUUCGCGCGGCUGUUGCGGCUAAGUGGACCGCCGCGCGCGACUCCCCCCACCGCGCCAUGUCCGCGGUCAACUCCUGGCAGUUUUGCGCGAAGCUAGCCCGCCAAUUUAUGAAGGGCUGGGGCGCGAACCUCGGCCGUGAUAUCCGUGACCGCAAGAAGGCCCUCUUGAGUGCCAUCCAGGCCCUGGACGCCCGUGCUGACUCGUCCGGGAUCUCCCGGGAUGAGUGGAUGUUGAGAUAUGAUCUCGAGGACCAGCUCUCGGUCAUUUACGCCGACGAAGAGGCCUACUGGCAGUUGUGCGGCAUCCAACGGUGGGUGCUCCAGGGCGACGCCAACAGGGCCUACUUCCAGGCGAUUGCCAACGGCCGGCGUCGCCGCAACUCCAUUCACUCCCUGUGGGCGGGUGAUACUCAGCUUGUUCGACCCUCGGACAUCUGCGCCCAAGUAGAUGGCUUCUAUAAAGCCCUUUUCACCCCCACCCCUCGGGGUGGGGCUGCGCUGGCCCCCGAUACCUGGUCGGGUGCCCAGCUUGUUUCCGCCGAGGCCAAUGCCGCUUUAGUGGCGCCUUUCUCGGAGGAGGAGGUCCUUGCGGCGAUUAAAGGCAUGAACCCCUCCUCGGCUCCGGGCCCGGAUGGAUUGCCAGUAUUGUUCUUUAAAACAUUCUGGUAA